This 87-nucleotide non-coding RNA is filed under the name Staphylococcus nepalensis. RNAcentral's name for it is "TPP riboswitch (THI element)". It matches the Rfam family "TPP riboswitch aptamer (THI element)", at positions 7 to 92 of the family's 105-position model. Rfam says of the family: Vitamin B(1) in its active form thiamin pyrophosphate (TPP) is an essential coenzyme that is synthesised by coupling of pyrimidine and thiazole moieties in bacteria. The previously detected thiamin-regulatory element, thi box was extended, resulting in a new, highly conserved RNA secondary structure, the THI element, which is widely distributed in eubacteria and also occurs in some archaea. The record is from RNAcentral. Lineage: Bacteria; Bacillati; Bacillota; Bacilli; Caryophanales; Staphylococcaceae.
CACUAGGGGUGUUUUUUAAACUGAGAUGAGAUUUACUCAAACCCUUUGAACCUGAUCUAGCCAAGACUAGCGAAGGAAAGUGUUAGA